Molecule: small nucleolar RNA, 124 nt
Organism: Dipodomys spectabilis (banner-tailed kangaroo rat)
Lineage: Eukaryota; Metazoa; Chordata; Mammalia; Rodentia; Heteromyidae
Product: small nucleolar RNA SNORA40
Exons: 1
Source: RefSeq, a predicted model, not a curated record
AACACUUAUGUGUAUGUAUUUGUUUAUUUUGUAACAAAGCUUUAGAGAGGUGAAAACAGUCCUCUUUCAAAACCCAAAACUUAUUGUUGCGUAUGAGAUUCUGGUAUAUAUAAGAAGGAAUAUG